GUAUGGCCGAGAGUAGGCGGCGGGCUGUAGACCCGCCCACAGGGNACAAACUCUUACUACCA
Molecule: transfer RNA, 62 nt
Filed under: Nactus pelagicus
Lineage: Eukaryota; Metazoa; Chordata; Lepidosauria; Squamata; Gekkonidae
Description: tRNA-Tyr
Source: RNAcentral